This 761-nucleotide ribosomal RNA is filed under the name Prevotella nigrescens. RNAcentral describes it as "bacterial SSU rRNA". It matches the Rfam family "Bacterial small subunit ribosomal RNA", at positions 28 to 776 of the family's 1533-position model. The record is from RNAcentral. Lineage: Bacteria; Pseudomonadati; Bacteroidota; Bacteroidia; Bacteroidales; Prevotellaceae.
GAUGAACGCUGGCUACAGGCUUAACACAUGCAAGUCGUGGGGAAACGGCAUUAUGUGCUUGCACAUUCUGGACGUCGACCGGCGCACGGGUGAGUAUCGCGUAUCCAACCUGCCCCUUACUUGGGGAUACCCCGUUGAAAGACGGCCUAAUACCCGAUGUGUUUCAUUGACGGCAUCCGAUAUGAAACAAAGGUUUUCCGGUAAGGGAUGGGGAUGCGUCUGAUUAGCUAGUUGGCGGGGCAACGGCCCACCAAGGCGACGAUCAGUAGGGGUUCUGAGAGGAAGGUCCCCCACAUUGGAACUGAGGCACGGUCCAAACUCCUACGGGAGGCAGCAGUGAGGAAUAUUGGUCAAUGGGCGCAAGUCUGAACCAGCCAAGUAGCGUGCAGGAUGACGGCCCUAUGGGUUGUAAACUGCUUUUAUGUGGGAAUAAAGUGGCGCACGUGUGCGCCAUUGCAUGUACCUCAUGAAUAAGGACCGGCUAAUUCCGCGCCAGCAGCCGCGGUAAUACGGAAGGUCCGGGCGUUAUCCGGAUUUAUUGGGUUUAAAGGGAGUGUAGGCGGUCUGUUAAGCGUGUUGUGAAAUUUAGGUGCUCAACAUUUAACUUGCAGCGCGAACUGUCAGACUUGAGUACACGCAGCGCAGGCGGAAUUCAUGGUGUAGCGGUGAAAUGCUUAGAUAUCAUGAGGAACUCCGAUCGCGAAGGCAGCCUGCGGGAGUGUUACUGACGCUUAAGCUCGAAGGUGCGGGUAUCGAACAGG